GGCUUGGUAGCGGAGGGUCCGCAUCUGCUUCAAAUUCGCGUUUUGCAUAGUUUCCAGAAUGCAGAGCAAAGCCUGUUCGAUUCAGGCCCGAGCCA
This is a non-coding RNA of Mycena latifolia, 95 nucleotides long. Lineage: Eukaryota; Fungi; Basidiomycota; Agaricomycetes; Agaricales; Mycenaceae. The record is from the annotation of a GenBank genome assembly.